UCUAUUUAGGCGUUAUGCGUCAAGCUUAGGACUUGGAGGAGAUUAAUAUCAAAUAGGA
RNAcentral lists this transfer RNA (58 nucleotides) under Stygobromus indentatus. RNAcentral describes it as "tRNA-Leu". The record is from RNAcentral. Lineage: Eukaryota; Metazoa; Arthropoda; Malacostraca; Amphipoda; Crangonyctidae.